CCUACGGGCGGCAGCAGUGAGGAAUAUUGGUCAAUGGACGAGAGUCUGAACCAGCCAAGUAGCGUGAAGGAUGACUGCCCUAUGGGUUGUAAACUUCUUUUAUAUGGGAAUAAAACGUUCCACGUGUGGGAUUUUGUAUGUACCAUAUGAAUAAGGAUCGGCUAACUCCGUGCCAGCAGCCGCGGUAAUACGGAGGAUCCGAGCGUUAUCCGGAUUUAUUGGGUUUAAAGGGAGCGUAGGUGGAUUGUUAAGUCAGUUGUGAAAGUUUGCGGCUCAACCGGAAAAUUGCAGUUGAAACUGGCAGUCUUGAGUACAGUAGAGGUGGGCGGAAUUCGUGGUGUAGCGGUGAAAUGCUUAGAUAUCACGAAGAACUCCGAUUGCGAAGGCAGUUCACUGGACUGCAACUGACACUGAGGCUCGAAAGUGUGGGUAUCAAACAGGAUUAGAUACCCCUGUAGUC
RNAcentral lists this ribosomal RNA (460 nucleotides) under uncultured bacterium. RNAcentral's name for it is "partial 16S ribosomal RNA". It matches the Rfam family "Bacterial small subunit ribosomal RNA", at positions 338 to 795 of the family's 1533-position model. The record is from RNAcentral.